UCUUAAAAAAGAUGAGCCCAAAGCAACUGCCGGUUCCAAUAGUGUCUCUACACUGGACUCAUCUUCCUCCGAGAUGAGUUCAAAGAGUACAGACUCGGAGUCAUCCAACAGCUCAUCCUCAGAGGACAAAAAGAGGAAGAAGAAGGGGAAAGGGAGAAAGAAGGCAUCCAAGAGGGUUAAAAUGGAAAAAACUCUGCAAAGAGCCCGGAAUCCCGAGCAGGCUUUGGCCCGGUACAAAAAGAUUCUUAAAUGCUACAAGAGGCUUGGAACCAUGUCUGGGGCAUUUCGAAAGGUCGGUGUUGACCGUAAUACAGUGGUGGUCAAUGCACCAAUCGCCGAGCUUUCCAUUGCUGCCCCAGACCAGUACAAGGAAGCUUUGAAAACGUAUACCCAUUCCACAAAAUUGAAAGCAUUUGCGGAACACUGUGCCUUGACAAUUCUAGGCGAUGUAGAAAUAGUUGACGCAGUUAACACGCUUAAAGCCAGUGGUAAGCUGCUACCACUGAAAAAUAAAUAAUUAUGUGCAUUUUGUAUUAUGCUUUACAAGUGUUCCUGUAAAGUAAUUUUUACAUUUUCUGUACAAUACCACUGUUCAUAUUUUAUCUGUAUUUUUUUGUUGUGUGUUCUUUGUUGAAAAGAAGAAUUUAUGUAGUUUAAAAUAAAUAUUUGUACGUUUUCAGCACUUCA
Long non-coding RNA from Gadus morhua (Atlantic cod), 687 nucleotides. RefSeq lists it as uncharacterized. The transcript has 2 exons. Lineage: Eukaryota; Metazoa; Chordata; Actinopteri; Gadiformes; Gadidae. The record is from RefSeq and is a predicted model, not a curated record.